This 283-nucleotide small nuclear RNA is filed under the name Jaculus jaculus (lesser Egyptian jerboa). Its description in RNAcentral is "7SK RNA (ENSJJAG00000004631.1)". It matches the Rfam family "7SK RNA", at positions 1 to 277 of the family's 331-position model. Rfam says of the family: 7SK was discovered as an abundant small nuclear RNA in the mid-70s but a possible function has only recently been suggested. Lineage: Eukaryota; Metazoa; Chordata; Mammalia; Rodentia; Dipodidae. The record is from Rfam by way of RNAcentral.
GGAUGUGAGGGUGAUCUGGCUGCAGCAUCUGUCACCCUAUUGAUCACCAGUGUUGAUUCAGCUGACCCGGGUGGCUAAGUGGGCGUCUCCUUCUCCCUCACCACAGCACCCUGUGCGUCCCUCCCAAAGGCACACACUUUGUUGCAGAGAACAACCUGCCUUUAAUUGAGGAGGGCUGGUCUUGGGUCAAGAGUAUAUGCCUAGCUGCACCCCCUUGCUGGAACCUCCAAACAAGCUCCAAAGAUGACCAUGGCUACUGGAUUAAGAGUGGACUACAGCUGGG